GCACACCCUGGGGUUGUUGGGGUGGGGAGGGAUUCCCAUUCCUGCAUUGCAAUGUGAAGUGUUCCUGAAUAAACCUGCUUGAAGAAGGACAACGUGGUGUUGUGCCUUUCCUGCUGGUCAAGGUGGAUUCAACAAGUGGUGGAACCUGUACCGAGACUUCUGCUUCUCGAGAGUGCUGCGGGUCCAGAACUUCAAGAGGUCAGAGUAGCCGGCUGGAAAGCUCCCAGGUAAUCUAAACUGCAAGUCCCAUGCUGCUUUCUGGUUACAAAUGUAAGCUGGAGAACAUGUGCUUGAGUGGCAGCCAAGAAUCUGACUGCAUCCUGGGAGGAAGGAAGGACACUACUCCACUGCAUGGUUCCAAGAGGCCCUGUCUCUGGAUGAGUCCCUUACUGGUGCCCAUUACUCUGGGAAACCAGAAAUAGGAAUGUGUGGAAGCACCAAAGACAUGGGUCUUCAGGUUCCUCCCUGCUUCACGAAUCUGAAGGGAAAGCACACAAGAUGAGGAAGAGCUUAGCAGUCUGAAUUCCUAAUGGAUUUACACCCAGGAGUGAGGUUGCUGGAUCAUUGUUAUCUUUUUGACAAGGAUUUCCUGUAAUAAUAAAGUCAGGUUAAGGCCAAGGUUGAAAGUAAAAUCAUGUUAAUGCAAACAAAAUGUGUCUGAACACAGAUGGGAUCAAGAGUAGAAAUGAAUCAAGUGUAAAAGAAAAUCUGAGGCUGAAUAUUCACAUGCCAUUUUGAAGAAUCUGAAAUGGGUAAAAAGGACAAGAAUCGGGAUUAUGAAGGGGACAUAGUGCUUCGCAUGCUGAUAACACCUCACUCAAGAAAAUGAUUUGUCGGGGGCUGGUGAGAUGGCUUAGUGGGUAAGAGCACCUGACUGCUCUUCUGAAGGUCCUGAGUUCAAAUCCCAGC
Molecule: non-coding RNA, 909 nt
Organism: Mus caroli (Ryukyu mouse)
Lineage: Eukaryota; Metazoa; Chordata; Mammalia; Rodentia; Muridae
Source: RefSeq, a predicted model, not a curated record